RNAcentral lists this small RNA (193 nucleotides) under uncultured Paenibacillus sp. RNAcentral's name for it is "ydaO/yuaA leader". It matches the Rfam family "c-di-AMP riboswitch aptamer (ydaO/yuaA leader)", at positions 11 to 130 of the family's 134-position model. Rfam says of the family: This family represents a conserved RNA structure found upstream of the ydaO and yuaA genes in Bacillus subtilis and related genes in other bacteria. The ydaO/yuaA element is thought to act as a genetic "off" switch for the ydaO and yuaA genes in its native state. Lineage: Bacteria; Bacillati; Bacillota; Bacilli; Caryophanales; Paenibacillaceae. The record is from RNAcentral.
AUCGCUUAAUCUCCUUGAGUGGAGAGCGGGGGAACCAAAUGGCGUGUUGGCCGGCAUCUAUAGCCUGGCUGAACGCGUGGAUUGAUUCCUUGGGGUGAAUUCGGUGCAGCCGAGCCAUGAGCCGGUUCGCAGCGACAGGGCGACUCUCGCAGCCCGAACCCGACAGCUAACCUCGUCAGCGUACGGAGAGAGG